RNAcentral lists this long non-coding RNA (1933 nucleotides) under Equus caballus (horse). RNAcentral describes it as "lncRNA (ENSECAG00000054495.1)". Lineage: Eukaryota; Metazoa; Chordata; Mammalia; Perissodactyla; Equidae. The record is from RNAcentral.
GUACGUCGGUCCUGCUGAGACUGUGGCCCCCUAGUACAACCUCUGGAUGCUCUGCCAGUUUGGUUUCAAUCCGCUUGGCAGGCAGUUCUGAGAACUUACAUUAAACUUAGACCCCGCAACCUUGAACCAAGAUGCUGGGGGCCAGGACUUGUUGACCAGUUGCCCAUAAACUGUGCUUUCAGGAAUAAGGGAGGAGGGGCCAGGAUUCUAGAGUACAAGGCUCUUAGGACCACGUGUUCUUUGUUUAAAGAGCAAACCCCACUCUUCCUUAGGUCCUGGAAUCUCCUGGAUGCAGAUGGUUCCAAGCUCUGGAACGGUUUCUCCCACCUCCAUUUCGCAGGAAAAUUAAACCCCAUUGCCAAGGGCUCUGUUGGCGACGUCGAAUAAACUCACUCUGCAGGCUUCAUUUUCCCCUGGGAAAUUCAGAUCCACACCUGCCUCCCUCGGUCUUUAGGCCUGGGAGUACCUCCAGCUAUGUGAGCGUGUUCGCCUGCCUGCUUGCUCCCAGGGCAGCGUGAGGCCCCGGCGUCCACUCAUCCCCAGGCUGGCUAUCAGUUAGCCUGGAGUCAGAUUUGGGUCUUUGGUAUCUCUGUAGUAAAACUUCAAGGACGACUAAGAAAGCCAAAGGUCAGGGACUCGGCUGCACUUCCUUUGCAGCCCAGAGGGUGAGCUAGACUGGAGCGCAGAAAAGCACUGUUGAGGAGAAUGUAUUACAUGGCUUUGCUCCUUCGGUCCUCAUAAGAAAUACAUAAGGCGGGAGCUGUCACUGAGUCCACUUCACAGAGGGAACCGAACUUGCAGAGGUUAGGGAAGUUUCCCAAAGUAACAGAGAUGGCAACUGGGACGAGUGGGGUCCACAGUAAGGGCCGUCUCCAGGUCUGUGAAGUAAAGCACACCCGUUUUGCAAGACAUGGCUGGGAAGGCAGGGCACCGACGCUUCCCAGGGCUCGCUGCACGUUAGGUACGUCCACCGUCCAGCGCCCAGAGACACCACCAGAGGAGGCCUGUGGACCAGCAAAGCUAAGUGCAUUACACGUCCCUCAGGAAGGAGGACGGCACCUGACAGGGGGCUCGGAGCGGAGGUCAGGACAGGAUACUGACGGGUCUUGGGGCUCAGUGAGUCUUAAGGCGGGCCUGAGCCCAGGAGCCGUGGCCGUGGGCAGUUUUUGCCUCAUCAGCUACAGACUGGCGAACGCAGGAAGGCAGGGGCAUGAGAUGGGCCUUGGUGAGCUGGCUCAGUUUUGAUAAAUAAGCUACUUAGUUGGUUCAGAGUCUUAUCUUUCAGGAGCAGAACUUCCCUGGAGCGGGCAGGGCAACAGCUGUGGAACGCCUAGAAGACAGUGGAUGGUUUGGGCCACCAGGGGGCGCGCUAGACCAGCGAAUUGACACAACGUUUGCGGUCCGCUGAGACCCCCACAGCGCUCUGGGAGGGGACAUCUGAGGUGUGUCUUUCAAAAUGAGAAGGAAGAUGCCAGCCCAACAAUGGGAGGAGAGCAGACGUUGAAGCACUGCAUUCUGAAGUGGACCGUGAUAAGUGUCUUGGUCACCAGUUUGAAGUGUCAUCACUUCAUAAGGGAACCCUCACCCAGGAAUAUCUAGGAGGAAAACCCCCCUCUUAAAGGUGUUGCCAUUUCUCACCCUGACCCCUGUCCUAGGCCAACAGCAAACAACAGCCAACCAGCAUUCAACCUUCAGACUGAGCAUGGAAGCACUCCAGUGGCCCCGAUGGCUCAGGCUAUGUGCAGAGGACUGGCUGGGCCAGCCUGGAGGGAAGCCAUCUAUGUGACAAACUUCCUCAGGGAAAAGGAGGGCAGGUUCACGGGUCUGAUCCGUGCACUACACACACAUACAGGCACACAAACACAAAUACACACACUCUUCACUCUAUGAGUCAUUAUGGGAGAAAAGGAAGCCUUUGAAAUUUGUAAAACAG